GUGAAGAUGCGGCGUACGGCUCAGUAACACGUAGUCAACCUGCCCUUAGGACGGAGAUAACCCCGGGAAACUGGGGAUAAUACUCGAUAGGUGAGAAUACCUGGAAUGGUUUCUCGCUGAAAAGAUCCUAAACCAUGCUUCAGGAAUCGCCUGAGGAUGGGACUGCGGCCGAUCAGGUAGUUGGCGAGGUAAUGGCUCACCAAGCCUAUAACCGGUACGGGCCGUGAGAGCGGGAGCCCGGAGAUGGGCACUGAGACAAGGGCCCAGGCCCUACGGGGCGCAGCAGCUACGAAAACUCUGCAAUGCGCGUAAGCGCGACAGGGCUAUCCCUAGUGUUAUUCGCUGAGAACAACUUUUCUUUGGUGUAAUAAGCCAAAGGAAUAAGGGGAGGGCAAGCCUGGUGUCAGCCGCCGCGGUAAUACCAACUCCCCGAGUGGUGGGGAUGAUUAUUGGGCCUAAAGCGUCCGUAGCCUGUUCUUCAAGUCUUCUGUUNAACCCAGCGGCCUAAUCGUUGGUCUGCAGGAGANACUGUAGGACUGGGAGGCGGGAGAAGGCGACGGUA
RNAcentral lists this ribosomal RNA (562 nucleotides) under uncultured archaeon. Its description in RNAcentral is "bacterial SSU rRNA". It matches the Rfam family "Archaeal small subunit ribosomal RNA", at positions 70 to 617 of the family's 1478-position model. The record is from RNAcentral.